GACGAACGCUGGCGGCGUGCUUAACACAUGCAAGUCGAACGGAAAGGCCCUGCUUUUGUGGGGUGCUCGAGUGGCGAACGGGUGAGUAACACGUGAGUAACCUGCCCUUGACUUUGGGAUAACUUCAGGAAACUGGGGCUAAUACCGGAUAGGAGCUCCUGCUGCAUGGUGGGGGUUGGAAAGUUUCGGCGGUUGGGGAUGGGCUCGCGGCUUAUCAGCUUGUUGGUGGGGUAGUGGCUUACCAAGGCUUUGACGGGUAGCCGGCCUGAGAGGGUGACCGGCCACAUUGGGACUGAGAUACGGCCCAGACUCCUACGGGAGGCAGCAGUGGGGAAUAUUGCACAAUGGGCGGAAGCCUGAUGCAGCAACGCCGCGUGCGGGAUGACGGCCUUCGGGUUGUAAACCGCUUUCGCCUGUGACGAAGCGUGAGUGACGGUAAUGGGUAAAGAAGCACCGGCUAACUACGUGCCAGCAGCCGCGGUGAUACGUAGGGUGCGAGCGUUGUCCGGAUUUAUUGGGCGUAAAGGGCUCGUAGGUGGUUGAUCGCGUCGGAAGUGUAAUCUUGGGGCUUAACCCUGAGCGUGCUUUCGAUACGGGUUGACUUGAGGAAGGUAGGGGAGAAUGGAAUUCCUGGUGGAGCGGUGGAAUGCGCAGAUAUCAGGAGGAACACCAGUGGCGAAGGCGGUUCUCUGGGCCUUUCCUGACGCUGAGGAGCGGAAGCGUGGGGAGCGAACAGGCUUAGAUACCCUGGUAGUCCACGCUGUAAACGGUGGGUACUAGGUGUGGGGUCCAUUCCACGGGUUCCGUGCCGUAGCUAACGCUUUAAGUACCCCGCCUGGGGAGUACGGCCGCAAGGCUAAAACUCAAAGGAAUUGACGGGGCCCCGCACAAGCGGCGGAGCAUGCGGAUUAAUUCGAUGCAACGCGUAGAACCUUACCUGGGUUUGACAUGGAUCGGGAGUGCUCAGAGAUGGGUGUGCCUCUUUUGGGGUCGGUUCACAGGUGGUGCAUGGCUGUCGUCAGCUCGUGUCGUGAGAUGUUGGGUUAAGUCCCGCAACGAGCGCAACCCUUGUUCACUGUUGCCAGCACGUUAUGGUGGGGACUCAGUGGAGACCGCCGGGGUCAACUCGGAGGAAGGUGGGGAUGACGUCAAGUCAUCAUGCCCCUUAUGUCCAGGGCUUCACGCAUGCUACAAUGGCUGGUACAGAGAGUGGCGAGCCUGUGAGGGUGAGCGAAUCUCGGAAAGUCGGUCUCAGUUCGGAUUGGGGUCUGCAACUCGACCUCAUGAAGUCGGAGUCGCUAGUAAUCGCAGAUCAGCAACGCUGCGGUGAAUACGUUCCCGGGGCU
RNAcentral lists this ribosomal RNA (1346 nucleotides) under uncultured bacterium. RNAcentral's name for it is "partial 16S ribosomal RNA". It matches the Rfam family "Bacterial small subunit ribosomal RNA", at positions 28 to 1381 of the family's 1533-position model. The record is from RNAcentral.